RNAcentral lists this ribosomal RNA (253 nucleotides) under uncultured bacterium. RNAcentral's name for it is "partial 16S ribosomal RNA". It matches the Rfam family "Bacterial small subunit ribosomal RNA", at positions 524 to 776 of the family's 1533-position model. The record is from RNAcentral.
UACGGAGGAUGCAAGCGUUAUCCGGAAUGAUUGGGCGUAAAGCGUCCGCAGGUGGCUGUGUAAGUCUGCUGUCAGAGAGCGAAGCUCAACUUCGUAAAGGCAGUGGAAACUACACGGCUAGAGUGCGUUCGGGGCAGAGGGAAUUCCUGGUGUAGCGGUGAAAUGCGUAGAGAUCAGGAAGAACACCGGUGGCGAAGGCGCUCUGCUAGGCCGCAACUGACACUGAGGGACGAAAGCUAGGGGAGCGAAUGGG